RNAcentral lists this ribosomal RNA (433 nucleotides) under uncultured bacterium. Its description in RNAcentral is "partial 16S ribosomal RNA". It matches the Rfam family "Bacterial small subunit ribosomal RNA", at positions 29 to 507 of the family's 1533-position model. The record is from RNAcentral.
AACGAACGCUGGCGGCGUGCCUAACACAUGCAAGUCGAACGAUGCCUUCGGGCAUAGUGGCGCACGGGUGCGUAACGCGUGGGAAUCUGCCUUUCGGUUCGGAAUAACUCAGGGAAACUUGAGCUAAUACCGGAUAACGUCGCAAGACCAAAGAUUUAUCACCGAAAGAUGAGCCCGCGUAGGAUUAGCUAGUUGGUGAGGUAAAGGCUCACCAAGGCGACGAUCCUUAGCUGGUCUGAGAGGAUGAUCAGCCACACUGGGACUGAGACACGGCCCAGACUCCUACGGGAGGCAGCAGUGGGGAAUAUUGGACAAUGGGCGAAGGCCUGAUCCAGCAAUGCCGCGUGAGUGAUGAAGGCCUUAGGGUUGUAAAGCUCUUUUACCCGGGAAGAUAAUGACGGUACCGGGAGAAUAAGCCCCGGCUAACUCCGUG